This 469-nucleotide ribosomal RNA is filed under the name uncultured Pseudomonas sp. RNAcentral describes it as "bacterial SSU rRNA". It matches the Rfam family "Bacterial small subunit ribosomal RNA", at positions 916 to 1381 of the family's 1533-position model. Lineage: Bacteria; Pseudomonadati; Pseudomonadota; Gammaproteobacteria; Pseudomonadales; Pseudomonadaceae. The record is from RNAcentral.
GACGGGGCCCGCACAAGCGGUGGAGCAUGUGGUUAAUUCGAAGCAACGCGAAGAACCUUACCAGGCCUUGACAUGCAGAGAACUUUCCAGAGAUGGAUUGGUGCCUUCGGGAACUCUGACACAGGUGCUGCAUGGAUGUCGUCAGCUCGUGUCGUGAGAUGUUGGGUUAAGUCCCGUAACGAGCGCAACCCUUGUCCUUAGUUACCAGCACGUUAUGGUGGGCACUCUAAGGAGACUGCCGGUGACAAACCGGAGGAAGGUGGGGAUGACGUCAAGUCAUCAUGGCCCUUACGGCCUGGGCUACACACGUGCUACAAUGGUCGGUACAAAGGGUUGCCAAGCCGCGAGGUGGAGCUAAUCCCAUAAAACCGAUCGUAGUCCGGAUCGCAGUCUGCAACUCGACUGCGUGAAGUCGGAAUCGCUAGUAAUCGUGAAUCAGAAUGUCACGGUGAAUACGUUCCCGGGCCUU